CGGUGGAGUAUGUGGUUAAUUCGAUGCAACGCGAAGAACCUUACCUGGUCUUGACAUCCCGGAGACCCUUAGGAACUAGGGGUGCUUCCAUCUGGAAGAAUCUGGAGACAGGUGCUGCAUGGCUGUCGUCAGCUCGUGUCGUGAGAUGUUGGGUUAAGUCCCGCAACGAGCGCAACCCUUGCCUUUAGUUGCCAGCAGUUCGGCUGGGCACUCUAAAGGGACUGCCGGUGUUAAACCGGAGGAAGGUGGGGAUGACGUCAAGUCCUCAUGGCCUUUAUGACCAGGGCUACACACGUACUACAAUGGCCGAUACAAAGGGCAGCGACACUGCGAGGUGAAGCCAAUCCCGUAAAAUCGGUCUCAGUCCGGAUUGGAGUCUGCAACUCGACUCCAUGAAGUUGGAAUCGCUAGUAAUCGUGGAUCAGCAUGCCACGGUGAAUACGUUCCCGGGCCUU
RNAcentral lists this ribosomal RNA (455 nucleotides) under uncultured Desulfobulbus sp. Its description in RNAcentral is "bacterial SSU rRNA". It matches the Rfam family "Bacterial small subunit ribosomal RNA", at positions 930 to 1382 of the family's 1533-position model. The record is from RNAcentral. Lineage: Bacteria; Pseudomonadati; Thermodesulfobacteriota; Desulfobulbia; Desulfobulbales; Desulfobulbaceae.